GACGAACGCUGGCGGCGUGCUUAACACAUGCAAGUCGAACGGAAAGGCCCUGCUUUUGUGGGGUGCUCGAGUGGCGAACGGGUGAGUAACACGUGAGUAACCUGCCCUUGACUUUGGGAUAACUUCAGGAAACUGGGGCUAAUACCGGAUAGGAGCUCCUGCUGCAUGGUGGGGGUUGGAAAGUUUCGGCGGUUGGGGAUAGACUCGCGGCUUAUCAGCUUGUUGGUGGGGUAGUGGCUUACCAAGGCUUUGACGGGUAGCCGGCCUGAGAGGGUGACCGGCCACAUUGGGACUGAGAUACGGCCCAGACUCCUACGGGGGGCAGCAGUGGGGAAUAUUGCACAAUGGGCGGAAGCCUGAUGCAGCAACGCCGCGUGCGGGAUGACGGCCUUCGGGUUGUAAACCGCUUUCGCCUGUGACGAAGCGUGAGUGACGGUAAUGGGUAAAGAAGCACCGGCUAACUACGUG
This 468-nucleotide ribosomal RNA is filed under the name uncultured bacterium. Its description in RNAcentral is "partial 16S ribosomal RNA". It matches the Rfam family "Bacterial small subunit ribosomal RNA", at positions 28 to 507 of the family's 1533-position model. The record is from RNAcentral.